CAGCCGCCGCGGUAAUACGGAGGAUCCAAGCGUUAUCCGGAAUCAUUGGGUUUAAAGGGUCCGUAGNCGGUUUAAUAAGUCAGUGGUGAAACCCCAUCGCUCAACGGUGGAACGGCCAUUGAUACUGUUAAACUUGAAUUAUUAGGAAGUAACUAGAAUAUGUAGUGUAGCGGUGAAAUGCUUAGAGAUUACAUGGAAUACCAAUUGCGAAGGCAGGNUACUACUAAUGGAUUGACGCUGAUGGACGAAAGCGUGGGUAGCGAACAGGAUUAGAUACCCUGGUAGUCCACGCCGUAAACGAUGGAUACUAGCUGUUGCGAGCAAUCUCAGUGGCUUAGCGAAAGUGAUAAGUAUCCCACCUGGGCAGUACGUUCGCAAGAAUGAAACUCAAAUGAAU
RNAcentral lists this ribosomal RNA (397 nucleotides) under Bacteroidetes bacterium enrichment culture clone LiUU-17-386. RNAcentral's name for it is "bacterial SSU rRNA". It matches the Rfam family "Bacterial small subunit ribosomal RNA", at positions 509 to 910 of the family's 1533-position model. Lineage: Bacteria; Pseudomonadati; Bacteroidota. The record is from RNAcentral.